GUAGGGUGCAGGCGUUAAUCGGAAUUACUGGGCGUAAAGCGUGCGCAGGCGGUUUGUUAAGACAGGUGUGAAAUCCCCGGGCUUAACCUGGGGAACUGCGCUUGUUACUGGCAGGCUUGAGUGUGGCAGAGGGGGGUGGAAUUCCAGGUGUAGCAGUGAAAUGCGUAGAUAUCUGGAGGAACACCGAUGGCGAAGGCAGCCCCCUGGGUUAACACUGACGCUCAUGCACGAAAGCGUGGGGAGCAAACAGGAUUAGAUACCCUGGUAGUCCACGCCCUAAACUAUGUCAACUGGUUGUCGGGGAAGCAAUUCCUUGGUAACGAAGCUAACGCGUGAAGUUGACCGCCUGGGGAGUACGGCCGCAAGGUUA
This 370-nucleotide ribosomal RNA is filed under the name uncultured bacterium. RNAcentral's name for it is "bacterial SSU rRNA". It matches the Rfam family "Bacterial small subunit ribosomal RNA", at positions 527 to 896 of the family's 1533-position model. The record is from RNAcentral.